CAGCCAGACUCCUACGGGAGGCAGCAGUGGGGAAUAUUGCACAAUGGGCGCAAGCCUGAUGCAGCCAUGCCGCGUGUAUGAAGAAGGCCUUCGGGUUGUAAAGUACUUUCAGCGGGGAGGAAGGCGAUAAGGUUAAUAGCCUUGUCGAUUGACGUUACCCGCAGAAGAAGCACCGGCUAACUCCGUGCCAGCAGCCGCGGUAAUACGGAGGUUGCAAGCGUUAAUCGGAAUUACUGGGCGUAAAGCGCACGCAGGCGGUCUGUCAAGUCGGGUGUGAAAUCCCCGGGCUCAACCUGGGAACUGCCGUCGAAACUGGCAUGCUGGAGUCUGGGAGAGGGGUGUAGAAUUCCAGGUGUAGCGGUGAAAUGCGUAGAGAUCUGGAGGAAUACCGGUGGCGAAGGCGG
This 404-nucleotide ribosomal RNA is filed under the name uncultured bacterium. RNAcentral describes it as "bacterial SSU rRNA". It matches the Rfam family "Bacterial small subunit ribosomal RNA", at positions 328 to 724 of the family's 1533-position model. The record is from RNAcentral.